GGGGGCAUAGCUCAGGGGUAGAGCGCUCGCUUCGCAUGCGAGAAGUCCGGGGUUCAAUUCCCCGUGCCUGCA
Molecule: transfer RNA, 72 nt
Filed under: Caenorhabditis brenneri
Lineage: Eukaryota; Metazoa; Nematoda; Chromadorea; Rhabditida; Rhabditidae
Description: tRNA-Ala (CGC) (tRNA-Ala-CGC-4-1)
Rfam family: tRNA
About the family: Transfer RNA (tRNA) molecules are approximately 80 nucleotides in length. Their secondary structure includes four short double-helical elements and three loops (D, anti-codon, and T loops).
Source: Rfam by way of RNAcentral